This is a long non-coding RNA of Melozone crissalis (California towhee), 1236 nucleotides long. RefSeq lists it as uncharacterized. The transcript is spliced from 3 exons. NCBI's taxonomy places the organism in Eukaryota, Metazoa, Chordata, Aves, Passeriformes, Passerellidae. The record is from RefSeq and is a predicted model, not a curated record.
CUCAUUGGCGUUUCGUGCAGUGAAAUCGUAGCGGAUUUUGGCAAAUCUCCUGGGCACAGCCACUCCCUGAGCCUCAAAAUUCCUGCAGGAGAGAAAAACUGGAGUUUUAGUGGAAGCCCACCUGGUAAUGGAACCAAAUGUGGGUUCACUGGUGGAACAAGAGUGAUGGUGGCUGGGAGUUUACAUUUGGAGGGGCAGAGUCCCUCUGCUCCUCUUUUGAGGAAGAUUUGCAGCCCUUGUUUCAGUGGAAUCCCUUGGGGCUGGGAACAAGCAAGCAAACCAAAGCUGCUGGGGUUUGGUAUGGGGCCUUCCUGGGGGCUGUGAGGCAGCUCCUGGAAGGGUGGAAGGAAUUGCUGCUUUAGGGCCUGGGGGGGCUGACACAGCAGGACCCAAAGGCUCUGAUUGCAAGUCCAGGGAAAGAGGAGUGAAAUGCUCCCUGUUCUGCCCAGUGGAAACAACUGCCCCAGAUGCCAGAGCAGGGAACAGCUGGGGGAAGAGGAAUUGAAAAUCCAAGCGGCAGAACCCACUGGAAAUCUGUGGGGUUUUUAUCAGGCUGAAUUCUGCAAGUUCCCAGGAAACCUGAGUGAAGUGCUAUCUGUUGAAUUAAAAAACCAUUUGCUGUAUGGAAAAACAGUCUUGCCUUGUGAAAGGACAGACAUCUGGAAUUGGAAAAGAGAAAUGAUCCCAAUUCUUUCCCUGCUCCACACUGCACCUGGACCACUUGAUGUUCCUACCAGGGCUUGGGGCAGCAGAAUCUUGGUGGCCACAGUUGGGAACUCGGUGAAUUGGAGCAAAGAUGAAGAGUUUGUCCACUAAGAGAAGUGGUGAAUUAUAAAGCAACGCAGAGUGAUAUUCCUUCCACAUCAGGGAUUUGGGAUUGGUGAUGGUCCCAAUCCAUCAUCUUUCUGUUCAUUUUCUUUUGGAUGCUGCAGCCUGCUGGGCUGGGGGAGCUGUUCCUUUGCAUUUAAUUUUCUGUAUUCUGUAAAUUCUCUGUGGAAAUCUGCUUUUAAUAAAAAGGCUCUUGAUGAUGUCCCAGAUUCCUGGGAUUCACAGGUGUGUGUUCAGACCAAGGAAUGUUCUGGCUGGCAGAAGCUGCACCAAUCUCCCAGGAAUCUCAGUCUGGGUUUGUCUUUGCUCCCAGUUCUCCUCAGUUUGGGGUGCAGUGCAGCCCUGCCCUGUGGAUCUCCCAGAAGAGUUUUGGGGUUAAAAAGGUUCUUUCCUAUUCUGCAGUUUUUC